This 72-nucleotide transfer RNA is filed under the name Candidatus Melainabacteria bacterium HGW-Melainabacteria-1. RNAcentral's name for it is "tRNA-Thr". It matches the Rfam family "tRNA". From Rfam's summary of the family: Transfer RNA (tRNA) molecules are approximately 80 nucleotides in length. The record is from RNAcentral. Lineage: Bacteria; Bacillati; Candidatus Melainabacteria.
UCCGGGGUAUUUCAGCGGUAGAAAUCUCGGCUUGUCUCCGAGCAGGCGAUGGUUCGACUCCAUCCCCCGGAC